UUUAACUGAAGAGUUUGAUCAUGGCUCAGAUUGAACGCUGGCGGCAGGCUUAACACAUGCAAGUCGAGCGGAGAGAGGUAGCUUGCUACUGAUCUUAGCGGCGGACGGGUGAGUAAUACUUAGGAAUCUGGCUAUUAGUGGGGGACAACAUUUCGAAAGGGAUGCUAAUAC
This 171-nucleotide ribosomal RNA is filed under the name Acinetobacter ursingii. RNAcentral's name for it is "partial 16S ribosomal RNA". It matches the Rfam family "Bacterial small subunit ribosomal RNA", at positions 1 to 169 of the family's 1533-position model. Lineage: Bacteria; Pseudomonadati; Pseudomonadota; Gammaproteobacteria; Moraxellales; Moraxellaceae. The record is from RNAcentral.